This 492-nucleotide ribosomal RNA is filed under the name uncultured bacterium. RNAcentral's name for it is "partial 16S ribosomal RNA". It matches the Rfam family "Bacterial small subunit ribosomal RNA", at positions 29 to 507 of the family's 1533-position model. The record is from RNAcentral.
AGUGAACGCUGGCGGUAGGCCUAACACAUGCAAGUCGAACGGCAGCACAGUAAGAGCUUGCUCUUACGGGUGGCGAGUGGCGGACGGGUGAGGAAUACAUCGGAAUCUACUUUUUCGUGGGGGAUAACGUAGGGAAACUUACGCUAAUACCGCAUACGACCUACGGGUGAAAGCAUGGGAUCUUCGGACCUUGCGCGAUUGAAUGAGCCGAUGUCGGAUUAGCUAGUUGGCGGGGUAAAGGCCCACCAAGGCGACGAUCCGUAGCUGGUCUGAGAGGAUGAUCAGCCACACUGGAACUGAGACACGGUCCAGACUCCUACGGGAGGCAGCAGUGGGGAAUAUUGGACAAUGGGCGAAAGCCUGAUCCAGCCAUACCGCGUGGGUGAAGAAGGCCUUCGGGUUGUAAAGCCCUUUUGUUGGGAAAGAAAAGCAGCAGGUUAAUACCCCGCUGUUCUGACGUUACCCAAAGAAUAAGCACCGGCUAACUUCGUG